GCAUUUUCGAGCCAAAAGUACGAAACGCCUACGCGGGAAAUCAGUCCACCGGACUGAUUUCUGAUCCCGUUUUGAUGCGUAGGAUAAUGCGCCAAAACAAAGAGUUAGGCUGUAGGUGACGAUUCUGUUAAAAUAGAAGCCGCUGUAGCGCCCUUCUGCGCCUG
Molecule: unclassified non-coding RNA, 164 nt
Filed under: Brucella sp. 191011898
Lineage: Bacteria; Pseudomonadati; Pseudomonadota; Alphaproteobacteria; Hyphomicrobiales; Brucellaceae
Description: BASRCI153
Source: RNAcentral